Molecule: transfer RNA, 101 nt
Rfam family: tRNA
About the family: Transfer RNA (tRNA) molecules are approximately 80 nucleotides in length. Their secondary structure includes four short double-helical elements and three loops (D, anti-codon, and T loops).
GCUUCAGUGGCUCAGUUGGUUAGAGCGCCAGUCUCAUAUAGGCUAUGAUCCUUGAUAAAGGAGUGAUCUGGAGGCCCCCAGUUCGAUCCUGGGCUGGAGCA